GGGGAAUAUUGCACAAUGGAGGAAACUCUGAUGCAGCGACGCCGCGUGAACGAAGAAGGUCUUCGGAUCGUAAAGUUCUGUCCUAGGGGACGAUAAUGACGGUACCCUAGGAGGAAGCCCCGGCUAACUACGUGCCAGCAGCCGCGGUAAUACGUAGGGGGCGAGCGUUGUCCGGAAUUAUUGGGCGUAAAGGGUUCGUAGGCGGUUAUUUAAGUCAGGUGUGAAAGGCAUGGGCUUAACCUGUGUAAGCACUUGAAACUGGAUAACUUGAGUUAAGGAGAGGAAAGUGGAAUUCCUAGUGUAGCGGUGAAAUGCGUAGAUAUUAGGAGGAAUACCAGUGGCGAAGGCGACUUUCUGGACUUAGACUGACGCUGAAGAACGAAAGCGUGGGGAGCAAAC
RNAcentral lists this ribosomal RNA (399 nucleotides) under uncultured bacterium. RNAcentral describes it as "bacterial SSU rRNA". It matches the Rfam family "Bacterial small subunit ribosomal RNA", at positions 356 to 773 of the family's 1533-position model. The record is from RNAcentral.